Molecule: long non-coding RNA, 543 nt
Filed under: Setaria viridis
Lineage: Eukaryota; Viridiplantae; Streptophyta; Magnoliopsida; Poales; Poaceae
Description: long non-coding RNA (SVIR_LNC004503)
Source: RNAcentral
GUACAUCUAAUCGAAAGGUCGUUAUGUGCAACCCGGACAGUUGUACAUGGCUGGUGGUCGGGUAUCUCUUGCAGGAUGUAAUUCGGUCCGGAUCGCCGCAAUUCUCGGAUAUGAAUGCACUUGAUCAUUGCUUAAGCAUCGUAGUGUAACAAAGAGAAGGGAACCGUUGCUUUCGAAUAAAUAUGUUGUAUGACUUAGUUCCAUCUGGUUGCUAAAAUAUUUUUUUCAUCAUAUAGACUGAUCAGGUAACAAACUCAAUCUGAAAUAAAAAGAUAAAACUAAGGUUUCACUUAUAGUAAGCUCUUUUUGCAAAAUGUGAGUCAGCCAGUACACCAUAAAGCUAUCAUACAGGGUGUCAACUUUAAUUAUAUUGGUUAGACGGGUCAGACUUGCUGAGUACUUCGUACUCAGGGGAUCCUUUGUUGUUGUUUUCAGAAACGCAGCAGGGACCCAGCGAGGAGGAAGCACCGAAGAACUAAGGUAUUUUAUGAGUCUCAUGAUACCCUAGAAUAAACUUAGAUGUUUAAUUACUUACCCCGGACU